Molecule: long non-coding RNA, 127 nt
Organism: Gekko japonicus
Lineage: Eukaryota; Metazoa; Chordata; Lepidosauria; Squamata; Gekkonidae
Exons: 3
Source: RefSeq, a predicted model, not a curated record
AGCUGGAAGGCCCUAGGGCAGCUACAGCGAUCCGGCACAGACGAAAGCAAAGACUAUGUGUGAGUGUGGCUGUACAGACCACAGGAUCCCCUCUGGAGAGCGAUCAAGGGUCAGUGGACACAGAGAC